Brassica napus (rape) is the source of this 1939-nucleotide long non-coding RNA. RefSeq lists it as uncharacterized. The record is from RefSeq and is a predicted model, not a curated record. The transcript has 8 exons. Lineage: Eukaryota; Viridiplantae; Streptophyta; Magnoliopsida; Brassicales; Brassicaceae.
AGGGAGGUUGGCUUAUCUCAGAUAAGAGCUGUAGAUUAUCAAAUCAAAGUCGGUGUGAGAAAAACGCAUCGAAGAAAGUGGAGAACAAAAGUCACACUUUCUUCUAUAUUAAAAAGGAAAAAAGAAAAAAGGGAAAUUUAAAUUUGAAUAUUACUUAAUUAUCUUUCCAGGAUCAGAGCUUUUGUAAUGUUAAUUUCGAGACGCGAAAAAAUCGCACAAGACAAGAAAAAAAACCUUGAAUCCGAUUACAACUGCGACGUAACCUUCUUCUUAACCAGAUCGACUCAAUUAUAGCAAUCUCGAAUCGCACAAAAUGUCAUCUCUGAGCAGAGUUUUAGUGUUCUUAAUCCUUUCAGUUCAAAGGAAUCCAUCCGUCCACAAGUAAGUUAUUCUUUCGUUGUUUGAUUCGAUAAUUUGGCAUAUUGUCGCUACUUUUGAUGUGCAGAGGAAUCGGGCUACUUCUUCAAUUUGAAUAAGUACGAGGAUGCUAGGUCUGGGAUUUGAGUGGGAAGAAACUUUACACCUUUGAAGGGCACGAAACAUAGUUCACUCCAUUUUCCCUCACCAGAAAGAAAAUAUACAGCUUAUAUUCUCAACUGCUCUUGAUGGUAAGAUCAAGGCUUGGCUCUAUGAUAAUAUGGGUUCUAGAGUUGACUAUGAUGCACCAGUACAGUGGUGUACAACGGUGCUAUAUAGUAGCAGACUAUUUUUUUGUGGAACAAGUAAAGUCGGAGAUUCUUUCCUAGUUGAGUGGAAUGAGAGUGAAGGUCCAUAAAGAGGACAUAUCUGGGCUUUAAAAAGAAAUCUGCAGGGAUUGCUCAGUUUGAUACUACACGCAACCGAUAUUUGGCAGUUGAAUGGAGUUGAGGCAAUGUCAAGAACUAUGGAAAAACCAAGAAUCUUGGAGUCAGUUGAAAAGUCCAGACCCUUGGAGCUCAUGGAAGUUACUGGUCCCGCUCAGUGCCGACAGUUGACCAUGCCAGACAGCAAAGGAUUCUGGUAGCAAGGUUGCACGGCUUCUUUUAUACAAAUUCGGGUGUUGGCAUUUUGGCUCUUGGAACAAAUGGUGUCCAGAUACUAUAUGGAGCCGCAGCGAGCAAAAUCCAACUGGAAAAGGCUAUCGCUAGUGUCAACCCCGCAGCAUUUGGCAACCUAACAGUGGUCUCUUAAUGACAAAUGAUGUCUCCGAGAAUCGUGAGGGAGCUGUUCCUUGCAUAGCUCUUUCUAACAAUGACUCGUACGUAAUGUCUGCUUGGGUGGAAAGGUUUCUUUGUUCAAUAUGAUGACUUUCAAGGUAAUGACCACUUUCAUGCCACCUCCUCCUGCUUCAACGUUCCUGACAUUUCAUCCUCAUGAGAAUAACACUAUUGCGACUGGGAUGGAGGACUCAACUAUCCAUAUUUACAAUGUCAGGGUAGAUGAGGUGAAAACAAAGUUGAAAGGCCACCAAAAGCACAUCAUCACUGGUUUAGCAUUCUCUGCCGCUCUAAAUAUUCUGGUUUCCUCUGGUGCUGAUGAUGAUCAUCAGGUGACCGUUAACCAAAAUUGGCUGUUAACUAUAUAAACCGAUCUUUAUUUAAGAAAUGUUUUGGCCAAAAUGUCAAAUCUAUCGCCAAUAUAAUUCCAUUUAACUUUCACAAGUUUGUGAUAAUUUAAAUAAAGGAAAUUUAACAUUUGGGGGAAACUGGUUUUCUUAUCCUACUGAUUUUUACUAGCAAUAAAGCCAAGAUGAGCAAUCGAAACCGGUCCGACCAUACUUGGUUAAGGAAUGGCUGGUUUUAUACGCUUUCUAUAUGUUUUAUGAUAUUGUGUCUUUAUUUGCUUGCUAUUUUAUUAUAAUAACGAGAUAAGGUAAAGACAAGAUUCCUUUUGCGUAAUGAUUUUCUUUUUAAGAUGUUUUGUACCGUUUGUUUGUUUCUAAUAAGAAGAAUGGGAAUUA